This 1551-nucleotide ribosomal RNA is filed under the name Triticum aestivum (bread wheat). Its description in RNAcentral is "partial small subunit ribosomal RNA". Lineage: Eukaryota; Viridiplantae; Streptophyta; Magnoliopsida; Poales; Poaceae. The record is from RNAcentral.
AUGGCUUCCCACCCAUCGUCGCCGCUGCCGGAACACCCUAUACCACCCGCUCCCACCACCAUAAGUGACCUCGGCGACGACCAGCUCCAAGAGAUCCUCAUCCGCCUUCCCGACCUCCCCAGCCUCGCCUCUGCCGCCUUCACCUGCCACGCCUUCCUCGGCGCCGUCCGCUCGUCCCGCGCCUUCCGCCGCCGCUUCAUCGCGCUCCACGCGGCCCCGCUCCUCCCUCGCUUCCUCUCACACACAAUAACUGCCUUCCCGGCCUUACGGCGCUCCUCCGCCAGAUUCACUCCACUCAAAGACGAUGACACUUCCGAGUGGGUGGUCAAUUUCUCCGAUCCUUCGAUUGCCUACAACGGCUCCAUCGCCAUCAAACACCGGAGCACCAUGCAGGGAGUUUGGUACAACCCCCAAAUGAUGGCCCUGUUUCUCCGCCCCAAGGAGCACCACGACUUGCCCGACGGCACCAUCCUUCGGUUCCACACAUUCUCCUCCGAAGAUGAUCAGAGGCCGUCCCGUGUGGUAUGUGUCCGUCACGACUACUCACGGCCUUGCGCGCGCGUUGCUGUCUUCUCAUCGGACACCAUGGAGUGGCAGCUUUUCCCGGAGAUCGCGACGCUGCCGCCUCAGGGCUUCAGGAGCACAGCUAGCACCGUGCUGGAUGGGUUUAUAUGUUGGCAAUGCGAGUCCAUUAACGGGGUGGCUAUCAGCGAGUACAUUUUCGUGCUCAACACAGACACAUUUCAGUUCUCUCGAAUGGAUCUGCCGCCGCCCUUGAGAAAGGUACGUCAAACAUUUCAGAUUGGUCAGAUCAAUGAUGGGAAGCUCUGUAUCGUAAAUGAGAAGGAAUGCACGUUUAGCCUUUGGAUCUGGACAGCCAGCGAUGACGGCAUUGAGAGAUUUGUGCUGCACAAGACGUUCCCGUUGUACACUCGCUUUAUGGAUGUCACCAACUGUUCAGUGAAAGAUACAAUCUCAGUGCGGCUUAUGACGGUUUUCAAUGGCUUUUUGUACUUUGCAAUUCGCCCAUGGAGAAAUUACGUGCAUCAGUUCAAAUCCCCUGAGUGGUUCAUGUCCUUGUCUCUGGAAACAGGGGAGCUGAAGCAGCAUCUUAAGAAUAGAAAGCAGCCUAUCUUCCCGGUCCAUCCCUACUCGGUCUGGCCUCCUUUUAUGGAAUACAUCUCGGAGGAUUCAAAAUCUGAGGUUACUGGAAACAGUGUCGAAGAUGGUUCUGAGAUCACAGGAAAGGAGUCGUUUGUCCUUAUAAAAGCAUUACGAUCAUAUAAAGAAGCUUUGAUAAAGGAUGGCAACGCAAAUGUUGCCGAGAUAGAGGCCUUCUCGCUUUGCAUUGACAUUGAGGACGAGAAGAACUCUCUUGUGAGGAAAAUCAUGGCUUUAGAUGAACUGUUAAGAACUGUGAGAGAUCGUGUCUUGAGGGCGGGUGCAGACCCUGAACUCGCAGACUGUGAAUUCUACAGACAGAAGAUCAAACCAGAGAGCUGGUGGAAAAUGUGCAAGGGAAAGUUAUGGAGAGGUUUCUGCGCUAGCUGA